GAUGAACGCUAGCGGCAGGCCUAACACAUGCAAGUCGAACGGUAACAGGGAAGAGCUUGCUCUUUCGCUGACGAGUGGCGCACGGGUGCGUAACGCGUAUACAAUCUACCUUUAAGCGGGGGAUAGCCCAUGGAAACGUGGAUUAAUACCCCAUAGUCUAUAAACUUCACCUGGAGAUUAUAGUAAACAUUUAUGGCUUAAAGAUGAGUAUGCGUCCUAUUAGUUAGUUGGUAAGGUAACGGCUUACCAAGACGGCGAUAGGUAGGGGUCCUGAGAGGGAGAUCCCCCACACUGGUACUGAGACACGGACCAGACUCCUACGGGAGGCAGCAGUGAGGAAUAUUGGACAAUGGAGGCAACUCUGAUCCAGCCAUGCCGCGUGCAGGAAGACUGCCCUAUGGGUUGUAAACUGCUUUUAUACGGGAAGAACCGCAGCUACGUGUAGUUGUUUGACGGUACCGUAAGAAUAAGGAUCGGCUAACUCCGUGCCAGCAGCCGCGGUAAUACGGAGGAUCCAAGCGUUAUCCGGAAUCAUUGGGUUUAAAGGGUCCGUAGGCGGGACAAUCAGUCAGUGGUGAAAGUCUGUGGCUCAACCAUAGAAUUGCCAUUGAUACUGUUGUUCUUGAGUUAUUAUGAAGUGGUUAGAAUGUGUAGUGUAGCGGUGAAAUGCAUAGAUAUUACACAGAAUACCGAUUGCGAAGGCAGAUCACUAAUAAUAUACUGACGCUGAUGGACGAAAGCGUAGGUAGCGAACAGGAUUAGAUACCCUGGUAGUCUACGCCGUAAACGAUGGUUACUAGCUGUCCGGCCCAAUUGAGGGCUGGGUGGUUAAGCGAAAGUGAUAAGUAACCCACCUGGGGAGUACGUUCGCAAGAAUGAAACUCAAAGGAAUUGACGGGGGCCCGCACAAGCGGUGGAGCAUGUGGUUUAAUUCGAUGAUACGCGAGGAACCUUACCAGGGCUUAAAUGUAGAU
RNAcentral lists this ribosomal RNA (974 nucleotides) under uncultured bacterium. RNAcentral describes it as "bacterial SSU rRNA". It matches the Rfam family "Bacterial small subunit ribosomal RNA", at positions 28 to 992 of the family's 1533-position model. The record is from RNAcentral.